GACGAACGCUGGCGGCGUGCCUAACACAUGCAAGUCGAACGGAAACGCCCUGCCUUUUUGGGCUGCUCGAGUGAAGGACGGGUGAGUAACACGUGAGUAACCUGCCCCUGACUUUGGGGUGACUUCAGGAAACUGAGGCUAAUACCACCUAGGAGUUACUGCUGCAGGGUGGGGGUUGGAAAGAUUCGGCGGUUGGGGGUGGAAUCGCGGCUUAUCAGCAUGUUGGUGGGGUAGUGGCUUACCAAGGCUUUGACGGGUAGCCUGCCUGAGAGGGUGACCGGCCACGUUGGGACUGAGAUACGGCCCAGACUCGUACGGUAGGCAACGGAGGAGAGUAUUAUACAGUAGGCUGAAGCCUAGUGCGACAACGCCGCGUGCGGGAAGACGUGCUUGCGGUUGGGAAGCGAAUUCGCUUGAGACGAGGCGUGAGUGACGGUAACGGGUGAAGAAGCACCGGCUAACUACGUG
This 468-nucleotide ribosomal RNA is filed under the name uncultured bacterium. RNAcentral's name for it is "partial 16S ribosomal RNA". It matches the Rfam family "Bacterial small subunit ribosomal RNA", at positions 28 to 507 of the family's 1533-position model. The record is from RNAcentral.